Long non-coding RNA from Mauremys reevesii (Reeves's turtle), 279 nucleotides. RefSeq lists it as uncharacterized. The transcript is spliced from 3 exons. The record is from RefSeq and is a predicted model, not a curated record. NCBI's taxonomy places the organism in Eukaryota, Metazoa, Chordata, Testudines, Geoemydidae.
CUUAGAAUUAAACUGACAGGCAUGGUCUGAAACCUACAACAAGGGCGUGGCUGCAGAUGGUUAUCAAGCACCUCCAGGAGACCUGAUCCAGAGCCCAUGGCAGUCAAUGCUGGGUGAGCCUAGGAAAUCGCCUUCCUGUAGAACCAGCUCACAACAACCAGGGAAAGGAAAAUGCUCCAAGCUCGCCAAACUAGAAAAAUCAGUGGAGACCCCCUCAAGAGGGAAGCUUUUUAGACUCUUUAAACUUGUCCCCUUCCUUCUCUGCCAGGUGUCAGAAUA